This 343-nucleotide ribosomal RNA is filed under the name uncultured bacterium. RNAcentral's name for it is "bacterial SSU rRNA". It matches the Rfam family "Bacterial small subunit ribosomal RNA", at positions 28 to 355 of the family's 1533-position model. The record is from RNAcentral.
GACGAACGCUGGCGGCGUGCUUAACACAUGCAAGUCGAGGGCGCUUCGGGGGCGAACCCUGGAGUGACCGGCGAACGGGUGCGUAACACGUGAGCGACCUUGCCUCGUGGUGGGGAGUAGCCGGCCCGAACGGCCGGGUAAUACCGCAUAGGGUGCUGACUCCGCAUGGAGACGGCAGCAAAGCCCUGGAGCAAUCCAGUGGCGCCACAGGGGAGGCUCGCGGCCUAUCAGCUAGUUGGCGAGGUAACGGCUCACCAAGGCGACGACGGGUAGCUGGUCUGAGAGGAUGGCCAGCCACAUUGGGACUGAGGAGACGGCCCAGACUCCUACGGGAGGCAGCAGU